Molecule: long non-coding RNA, 25131 nt
Filed under: Ananas comosus (pineapple)
Lineage: Eukaryota; Viridiplantae; Streptophyta; Magnoliopsida; Poales; Bromeliaceae
Description: long non-coding RNA (ACOM_LNC001183)
Source: RNAcentral
GUUAAAGAUAAUGCUAAUGAGAUUAGGAUUAAAUUAUUUGAUGUUAUCUAUUAUUAUAUUCGGUUAUGAUUAAGAUAUAUUCGGUUAUUAUUUAGAUUAUGGUUUAGUUGAAAUCGAUUCAGAAUAGAAUUUUAUGUAAUUAGUUAUAAAUAGAUAUGCCGGAAUUAUUUGGUUAAUGAAGCCGGAAGUCCACAUAAUUAAUUAGCGCUCGCCGAAGGUUGCAUAUGGUGAUGAGUUAUUUUCUUCAAUAAAGUUAUUUUGUUUUGCUUCCAUGACAACGUACCAGAUUCUUUAAUUUGUCUUUUUCCUCUCUCGUUUUUUCUAUUUUAUUUUUUGUGGAGAUCUCUGUAUACCAUAACAAGUAUAUAAAAGUAUUUGUUGGUGGCCCAUCACCGUAACAGCGCAUCUCUCUAGCCGCCACCUUCAACUUGUCGAAUAUGAGCUCCAUCUCGUCCGUCACGUAUCCGCGUCUCUCUCUAGCCGCCUCCUUCAACUCUUUGAAUAUGAACUCCAUCUCGACCAUCCCGUCCUCGCUCCCCUCUGAAGCGGCCUUCUUCAACUUGUCGAAUAUGAACUCCUUCAUCUCUGGCGUCACCUCGCUGCUCGUCACGAAGAGAGUCUUGUCUAUGGCUUCAUCUUUGUUCGGCUCACGUGCCGGCUGACGAAGCGAGCCGUCUCACGCGCCGACUAGCCACCCACUUCCGCACCCCGGCCCCAUCCUUGUUCGGCUCGUCAAGGCAGUAGCGGAUGAGGCUCAUCCGCGAAACCUCCACCAACCUCUGCUGCCGCCGCCCGAACCUCGAGUUGUUGAUGCGUGCGCAGCACUCUUUGAAGAGCCACUUGUCCGCGAAAGACACGCGGGCCCAGUCCGAGCAGAGAAGCAUCACGAGCGCCGCAAAGUCGAGCACGGCCGCGCCGGCCAGCAGCGCGUAGGUGAUGGCGGCGUCGAGGCACGUGAAUCCGCGCUUGUCGGCGAAGAAUAAUGCGAGGAAGGCAGCCGCGAUGCAUGCCGAUCCGAUCAGCCGGAGCGCGUACUCAAGCCAACUGUGCACGACGGCGGCCUUCGUGUAGAUGAUGUCGUAGAUGAAGCCAAGCUCGACCUCGAUCAACUCAAAGGCUUCUUCGGCUGUGCCUAGCUGGAAGAAGAACUCUAUAUAUGCUCGCCUUGCACUCGUUGAAGUUGAGUACGAGGUCGGCGAAGAGGCACUGGAACGUCUGGCAGAGUCGGAAGGCGUUGGAUUCCACAGGAUCGCCUCUUUUGAGCUUUUGGCCGAUCUUGGGUUCGGCGGAAGUGGUCUCCUUCGGGACGUCGAUCUCGACGGGCAAGCCGGCCCUUUUUUUUGCGCUGUACUCCUCCAUCAUCUUGGCAUAGUUGAUGCCCGUGUAGGGGUCAGGGAGCAUGGAUUUGCACAGGCCGUCGGCGCUCCCGCGGUAGAGGGAGUAGGUCCGCUCGGAGUACUUGACGACGCUGACGACGAACACGAAGACGGACGCGAGGACGAAGGGGUUGCGAUGGAGGGAGCAGAGGAAGACGGUGGCGGCAGCGAAGAGCUCGAAGAGGAGGCCGACGAGGUGGCAGCGCCAGAGCUCGUUGUCCUCGAUGGAGAAGGCGGUGAUGGUGUCAGGGCCGCCGAGGUGGAGGAGGAGGAACGGCGCCCAGAAGGCAAAGAUGACGGGGCUGUUGCCGCCGCUGUCGCCGCCGCCGCCGCUGACAUUGGGCUUGGGGGAGACGUGGGACAUCGUGACGGUGGUGGUCGAGGGGGCGAUGUUGCCCAAGGAGUUGAGAAGGAGGCCGAGGGCGAGGUCGGCGACCCAGUCAGCGAGGAGGUAGCUGGACCAGACGACGAAGCGGAUGAGGCCGGAGGAGGAGUGUUGGGAAUCCGGUACUCGCCCCGGUACCGGAUCUCGUGAAUCCGCAACCCGCUCCGAUACCGACUGCUGUGGAUUCGGUACCGAUGGUUGGGAUUCCGCAACGAAAACGUCAAAUCGGGUUUUUACCAUAAACCCGUCUCCUCAGCAAAAGCUGAUACAAUCAUAAAAGAGAGAAAUACCAAAACAGAAAAUAUGCGGGUAAAAUAAGAUUCAUUAAAUAAGAGAAGAUUACACCUGACUCCUCUUCUGCACAGAGUAGCUACAAUCCGAGCCCUCUUUCUGAAUCUCUCCUACCCUUCUCUCAUCUUCUAUAAUUCCACAAAGAAGACAAUCAUCCACGCGCACCCGUGCACUAGGUGCACUCAACACAUUGGAUAACUCUCUCUCUCUCUUUUUCUCUCUCUCGGGUACGGCACCACACAAGCUCCUGCCGUACACCCUCACAGCUUCUCCAAAUUAAUUUACCCAAUGCAUUAUUUAUAAUGCUCCAACUAGAAUGUACCCAAUUCUAGUAUAUUUAGGAUUUCUACUUUAAUUAAUAUCUAAAUCUAUUUUAAUCAAUCUCUAAUAGAUUUAAAUAUUAAUCCUAAUCUAGUUAGGUUUAUCCUCUAAUUAAUAUUUAAAUCUUAAUUUAUCUCAAACAGAUUUAAAUAUUAAUUCUUAUCCAAAUAGGAUUUAACUACAAAUCUAACCAAAUCCUAACAUUCUCCACCUUGGUUUGAUUUGUAAUUUUCAGCCGCUACGUCGAGCUCACCAUGCAAGCUCCACCAUGCAAGCUCACCGUCUUCGCUCCCGUUCUGACUGUGCUCCCGUUCAAAACGUAUAAGUUCCCACGCUUGUUGGCUUCGCAUACGACCCGAUCUCAUUUUCGGACCCUCAUAGCUCCACCUGAAGCCGAAAUAUCGCAACCCUUCGAGUCCAAUGCGCCUAACGAGAUCAAAUUCCGCUUCAAUCCAGGAACGUGCCGCACACCUGUCAGCGUCCUCACGACCCCAUCGUGCAUUCGGAUUUUCACCAUGCCGACUCCCAAUACUUUGCACGCUGUCCCGUUCCCCAUCAGCGCCUUUCCACCUUUGAUCGCCUUAUAGGUGGCAAAAGACUCCUUCUCCUGGCAUACGUGAAAAGAACACGCCGAAUCGAGCACCAAUGCAUCGUCCGAAAUUUUCGCACCUCCGGUCGCCACAUACAGCACAUCAGAAUCGAUCAUCUCCGACUCUGCUGUCUGCGCCGUCGCUGAUACCGUCUCGUCCUGGUUCACGACAGUUUGCUCCUUCUGUCGCUUUAACUCCUUCAGAUCAUCCUGAAGUUUUCGACAAUUGCGCUUGAUAUGCCCCUUCCUGUGACAGUAAAAGCAUUCUACCUCAGAUAGCGGUUUCUUCUGUCGAUAUCCGGUCGCCGAUAUUCUCGCCUCCUUCUUCGCAGUCACCACCAGUCCUACAUCCUGACUUUGCGUGCCGGACUCCUGAGUCAUCUUCCGCAUCUCGUUCGAGAGAAGCGCCGCCGUGACCGCCUCCACGCUUAUGGACUCCUUGCCAUAAAGCAACGUGGUCACCAGAUGCUCAUAUGUCGUCGGUAGCGAAGAUAGUAGGAUCAACGCCUUGUCUUCGUCAUCCAGAUUGACUCCGAUGCUGGUCAACUGGGCCACCACCUUGUUGAACUCAUUUAGAUGAUCAUGUAGGCUCGCCGCUUCUUGCAUCCGCAACGUAAACAGUCGCUGCUUCAGAUACAAUCUGUUCGUCAGGGAUUUGGUCAUGUACAGAUCUUCCAAUUUCUUCCACAAUUUCGCCGGUGUCGUCUCGCCGGCUACAUUGUAAAGAACCUCAUCUGCUAAUGAUAGAUGAAGCGUACUCAGCGCCUUCCGCUCCAUCUUCGUCCAUGCCGCAUCCGUGACCUCCGCCGGCUUUGCCUCCUUCCCGUUCAACGUCUCGUCUAACUCUUGCUGUACGAGGAUUGCUCGUACUUUAAUUUGCCAUAAUCCGAAAUUGUUCUUGCCGUCGAACUUCUCGAUUUCGAAUUUCGUGGCCAUCUCCGUCGAUCUCUCCCGCAGAUCGGUAACCUUCGGCUCUGAUACCACUUGUUGGGAAUCCGGUACUCGCCCCGGUACCGGAUCUCGUGAAUCCGCAACCCGCUCCGAUACCGACUGCUGUGGAUCCGGUAUCGAUUGUUGGGAUUCCGCAACGGAAGCGUCAAAUCGGGUUUUUACCAUAAACCCGUCUCCUCAGCAAAAGCUGAUACAAUCAUAAAAGAGAGAAAUACCAAAACAGAAAAUAUGCGGGUAAAAUAAGAUUCAUUAAAUAAGAGAAGAUUACACCUGACUCCUCUUCUGCACAGAGUAGCUACAACCCGAGCCCUCUUUCUGAAUCUCUUCUACCCUUCUCUCGUCUUCUAUAAACCCAUAAAGAAGACAAUCCUUCACAUGCACCCGUGCACUAGGUGCACUCAAAGCAUAAUUAAAUAACUCUCUCUCUCUCUUUUUCUCUCUCUGGUACGGCACCCAAGAGGCCUUUUCUCUCUCUCCCGUACUCACCUCAAAAAGCAAACCCACAAAGAGCUAUUUAUAAGGCUCCACCAAAACGUACCCCAAUCCUAAUAUAUUUAGGAUUUCUACUCCAAUUAAUAUCUAAAUCUAUCUUAAUCAAUCUCUAAUAGAUUUAAAUAUUAAUCCUAAUCUAGUUAGGUUUAUCCUCUAAUUAAUAUUUAAAUCUUAAUUUAUCUCAAACAGAUUUAAAUAUUAAUUCUUAUCCAAAUAGGAUUUAACUACAAAUCUAACCAAAUCCUAACAAGGAGGUGCGGCGGAACGGCGCGGAGAAGAUGAGGAGCACUUGGAGGGCCAGACUGGCCUGCACGGCCACCCGGAUCUCCCAGUUCGUGUCCUGUUGCGGAACUGGUGGCUCAAACCCCAUCCUUAUCUCUCUCUCUUUUUAUAUACCGUGCACUUGCACUUAACAGUGAGCCGAAUUAUGUAUACAUUGAGCAGUCGAAUAGUGUUGGUUGCUUCUUUUGCUUAAGUUGAUGACGAUAAUCUGCAGUUGAAAUUGCAAUAUCGUAAGCACAGUUUAAAAAAAAAAAGAAAAAAAAGAAAAAAAAAAAAAAAAAAAAAAAAAAAAAGCGGGUAAUGAUAAAACAGAAGCACCUAUAAAUUUGAAGAACUAAUUUAUUAUUAUGUGAGAAAUUAAUGCUAAGUUUACAAUUGAAAAAGAAUUAUAGAAUAGCAACUCUCAGUCCACAAAUUGCAAUCUUAUCCUUAGGAUUUAAUUUUCUUUUUGAAUUUUAGUAAUUUACCAAAUGUAGAGCUAGCAUAUAUUGCUCUUUGUAACAGAAUAUGGAAUCUUAAAAAUGAGUGGGCUUUAUAAAAAAAAAAAUGGUUGCGUUGACUCUUACUUAAAAAAAAUAGAGAAAUGUCACUGCACACUCAAGUAUUUUGUAUUAAAGAAAAUAAGAAUGUGAUAAAACUAUUCUAAAACUAUUGGCCUUUAGAUAAAAAAAUAUAUAUAAGAUUCAUAUCUACUUUUGAAUGUACAGAUAAUAUUACUUUAAUUAGUAUAUUACUAUAUCUUGUUCAAUUGAGUAUGGUGCUUAUAAAGGAUUUGAAAUUUUUUAUAUUUGGCCAAGUCUACAGAUGAUUUUAAAGAUUUGAAUUUUAUUUGCUAUUUAAUAACAAUUAGGUAGAAAUGCACUUAAUUAAAAAAAAAAAAAACAGGAGAAAGAGAGAGGGAGAGAUUAAGAUCUUGUCACCUAUUCCGUAACACUGGGGCUAUAGCAAUGAGCCUAAUAAUUGUCCUAUGCGGGAAGGGUUUUAAUAACUCGCAAAAGAGAACAAAAACUGAUGUUUCUAGAAAAAGAAAAAAGAAAAAGAAAAAGAAAAAGAUAGAGAAGAGACAAUCCUUAAAACGUGUUAAAGAAAAAGAAAAAGAUAGAGAAGAGACAAUCCUUAAAACAUGUUAAAGAAAAAGAGAAAAAAAAAAUGGAAAGAAAACAGAAAAGAAAAUAUUAAAGAGAUAAAGAAAAAAAAAAGAAAAGCUAUGGGAGAAGAAUAAAGAGAAAAGAAAAUACCUAAAGAGAUUAAAAACGAAAAAUGAAAAAGUAAAAAAAAAAAAAAAAAAAAAACUAAAGAACCAUAAAAUGCCUAACAAGGGUUGAGUGCAGUUCACAGUUUUUCUUUUAAAAGCAUGAUAUGAGAUCUAAUACCGUAUACAAAACUGUCAUGUUAUACUCGAGUCUAAAUAUAUAGAAAAUUAAAAAAAAUUAGAAAUAUAUAAAAAAAGAGAGAAUCACAAAAUGCCUAAUAAGGGUUGAGUACAAUUCACAGUUCUUCUUUCAAAAGUAGGCGGCUUAUCUAGUUAACUAUAUAGAUCUUUAGAAGUUGUACGCGCGCGGUGUGGGGGAGCGGUUUUUGCCGGGGGGGCUCGCCGGGCCUGAGUGGAGGAGCGAUGAUGGGUGCGCUGGGUAACAGGGGACUAGAGAGAGAAGGAGAGGCAACGGCGUCUGGGUGGCACGUGCUCGGAGACGACCCGCGUGGGGGGUGGGGUACUGACCGGGACUGCGCCGCGGUGCCGGUCGAAUGGGGCGGGGUGCCGGGGGAGAUUGAGAUGAGGGAGGACGGAAGCAUCUCGGGAGGGUGAGAGGUGGAGAGCAGUAGCAGGAUGUGAGGAGAGUUGAUGGUUGGGCGAGAGAUGCAGCCGACAGAGAGAGGGGAGAAAGACGAGGGGAAGAUGAGAUGCCUGCGGUUCUGGAUGGAGGAGGACGACCGCUACGUCGACGAGAGUGUGACUUGAGAGGGGAGAUGGAGGAUGAAAGAGACAUCGGACAGAGAGAGGAGCCUCUGCCUCAUGUCGGUGCGCGCGGGGUGGGGCCUGGCCAACAUGCGCCCCGCCCUCCUCCCCGAGCCACCGUCUCUCGUCGCAUCUCUUCCUAGCCUCCCCUCGUGCCCUGGGGCGAUGCCCCCAGUUCCCUGCUCACUCUCUUUCUCUGCGUCUCUCCAUAGCCCCCCCAUCUCUCACUCCUUUCCCCCUCUUCCUUAGCCCUCCAACUCCCUCCAACCUCUUCUCCUCUCUCCUCUCUCUCUCUCUCUCUUUCUCUCUGCGUGGCGCGGCGGGAGGUGCGCGCUCCGCAAUGGCAGCCCCCCCCCUCCACCGGCUCUCUCUCUCUCACUCUCUGGCUCCCUCUCUGUGCUUCCCGUCUCCCCCAGCCGUCUCACUCUCGCGCCUCUCUCCACGCCCAGCAGGCUCUCUCCCUCUCUCUCUCGUCUUCUCCCUUCCCGCCGAGCGUCUUGCAUCCCCCUUUAGUCCGCUCUCUGCGCCUGUCGCGCGUCUCUCUCCUCGUUCCGCCCCCCCCACCUCCCCGGUCCGGUCUCCGUGCAGCGCGAGCCGCGGGCGGGGGGCCGGUACGGCUGCGGCUCCGGCGGGGUGGCGAUGCUCGGGGGCGCUCGGCGUGCCGGCGGGCGGGCGCGCGGCGGCGCGGGCGGCGGAGGGAUCGCCGCCCGCAGGCUUAGUUGAGCGACGCCUGGCCUGUCGGCCUGCCGCGCGGGCGCCUUGCCUGUACCCCUGCCCGCUCCCCCCUCUCUCCUGGGCCUCCCGCGCGGCCCCGCGCGGCGUGGAUGGGCUGCUGCGUGUGGCGGUGGCGUGCGUCCGGGCGAAGGUCGAGUCGCAGCGGUGGUGCUCGGGGUCGGAGGCUCGGGUGCGGCCGGGCGCGCACCGGGCAAGGUGGCGCGGAGGGGUAGGGGUGGUGUGUGUGGACGAGGUGGAGAGGGCGCGAGAUGAGGGAAGAGACCGAGGCGAGAGAGGACGAGAACAGCUGCUGGGAGGAGAGAGAUCACGCGGGGGAGAUGGCGGCGAUGGCCGGUGGAUGGUCUCCCGGCCCGACCUAGGAGUGGCGGAGAAGGUGAAAGAGGUGGUGGGAGAGAGAGGGAGGGGCCAGGAGACAACGGAGAGGGCAGUGUGGGACGAGACGGAGAAGGAGAAGAGUGGAGGAGAGGACGCGAGGGAGAGGGCGACGAUACUGACUGUGGAAAGAAAUGACGUUGAAUGUUUAAAGUGUGUAACUUUGGUGCAUUGUGAGAAUUUCAGGAACGUUAGAGGUCGGUCUUCCACAGCAGUGAAGUAGUUUAUGUCAUUAAGUGUUUAUAGACUUCAAACUUUGAACGCGUUUUCUGAGACGCUAAACUCGGUAUAAUAAGUAGCAGGUCUGACGGAAUUAUACUUAGCACGUUUAUUCCAAUAUUAUUAGGAGUUCGAACAGUAUAUAAUUACACGUGAAUUAUUAAUGCAGUACGACUGUAGAAAGUAAGACGCAUUCAAUUCACAACCUCUUGGGUCUAGUCCCGGUCGUAUUUAAAUAAUUUUUAAUUUUCUGUCUCUUCACAUUUUUUGAGAGUUAUGAACCAUUUGGAUGAAUUAGAUUGUGCAGAGUUAUAAAAUAAUAAAAAAAGGUCUUGUCGUAAGGGAAGUCAGUAAAUAACAGUGAUUAUAAAGUUGUCGCCGCGAAGCCGGGCCUCUACACUAGGUGAGAUUCUGUAAUACCAUCCACAAAGCAAUCUGUCCUUUAUUCGAGUUUGAAGUGUGUGUGUUGUGUGGUGUGGUGGUGUGUGUGUGUAAAGAAGAGAGAGCCGACAUGAGAGAAGUCCUGCUAGACGCUGUACUAUCAAUUAACCAACCUAAACAUUGUGCUGCAAGUUUUUCACCUUUAAUCUUAAACUCUUUAAUGCCCACAUUUAGUGAUCAUAUUAUUCAACCAUACCCACCACUCAAUAUAGGAGAAUACCUUUCAUUUAAUCAGCAUAACCUUCAUCUAAGUAAUGAGAAACCCUAAUAGCCAUCAAUACUUUGGUUGCUUCUAAUUAAUAGUAUUUCUGCCGUUGGGGUAUUUAUAUUAUAACUGUGAUAUAGUAUACGACUUAUAUGUGUAUAUCAUCGUAUAUAGAGAGAGAGAGAGAUCGACGCGUUGAGAGAGAGAGAGAGGAGAGAGAGUGAGCUGGAAGCCUAUCGGUAGCAAACGGGCUCCGUUGCCACCAAUUGUUUGCGAGGAUGGAGGCCACUCUAAAAUCGGAGAGUCGCUGCACGUUGAAAUGGAUCUCAUACAGUUGAAGCAUCUAGGAAGCAAGAGUUUAGUUUGUGUCGCGGAGAGGCGGGUACGAUGUUCGCGUUGGGUCACUGCAAGGCGGCGGUGGACCAAAAGAUGAAUACCAAGACCCGCCGGGCGGGGACUGAAGGGCGGUUGUGAAAAGAUUGGGAGUAAGAACGUUCGCUAGUGAGUACGCAAGAGUAUCGGAGGCCGGAUUACUAGAUGUGUUUAAUGAGACUUUACGAAACGAAGGUUCUGUGAAGCCAACGAUUCGACGAUAGAUUUGGAGAGGUACUCGAUGGCGGAGGAGGCGUCGAGGUGCACUACGUUCAACGAUGCAAAAACGGCGGGCGCUCGAGCGGCCGGGGCGCGCUACUGGCGAUACGCGCUACGGCGACCAUCUCAGCGACAUCACUACAAUUUUAGAGCACUGUGUCGAUUCGAUGUAGGCGAAAGACUAGUUGGAGCAAGAAUAACUUAAACGUUGUUUCUAUAUUAAAAAAAAAGAGAAGAAAAGCUAUCCUACAGAAUAACGAAGAGAAUAGCAAAAUACCUAAAAAAGAUUAAAAAUGCAAAGUAAAAAAAAAAAAAAAAAAAACCAUGAAAUGUCUAAUAGGUGUUGAGUGAAGUUCACAGUUUUUCUUUUAAAAGCAUGAUAUGAGAUCUAAUACCGUACACAAAAUUGUUAUGUUUUAUUUGAGUCUGAAUAUAUAUAUAAAAUUAAAAAAAGUAGAAAUAUAAAAAAAGAGAGAAUCACAAAACACCUAAUAAGGGUUAAGUGCAAUUAACAGUUCUCCUUUCAAAAGUAGGGUAUGUGAUCUAAUGCCAUACACAAAAUUGUCCAAUUUGAGUAUGAAUAUAUAUAUAUAGUCAUACAUUAAAAUUAAUGGAUUGCUAGAUUUUUUAUCAUUUUUUCUUUACUAUCUCGCUUACUACUUUUCAUCUCUUUCAAUUUCUUCUCAAUUUUUUUUCUCUCUCUAUAUUUUUCAUCACAAUCACCUUCCCCCCAACCCAUUUCCCACCAUCAACACUCCACCCCACUAACCCCAUAUGCCACUGCUGCCGCCACGCCACCUCCCCUACCCCCACUACCACUGUAACUACCGUCUCAAGCGAGGGGGAAAGAGAGGGGAGUUUGGGCUUAGGGUGGAGAGGAUGAUGGUGGAGGAGCAGCGGCGACGAUGGCGAAAGACUUUUGUUACGACAUAUUUAGUAUUUUAUGUUAUAUUAGGAUAUUGUAUAUAUAUUACGACAUAUUUAGAAUAGGAUUAUAUGUUAUCAUAUAGGAUUAUAUGGUAAGUAAUCCUAGUUAUAUUGUUACUAUAGUAGGCUUAUCUCUUGUGCUAUAUAAUUUUAUCAAUAUAACCUAAGAGGAUAUACUCUGAUACCAUGAAAGAAGAGUAAAAGAGUAUGCUCUUUUACCCUUCUUUCAAUUGUGAGGGAGGAAAAUAAUGAUGGAGGGGGUGGUGGAUAAGGAUGGUGGGAAAUGAACGGUGGAGAGGGAUAGAGGGGGUGUGGGAUAAAAGAGAGGGAGAAGAGAAAUUGAAAGGGAGAUACAAGGAAGUAAGAGUAAAAUGAGAAAAAUGAGAGAUUAAUCCUAACUACAUCAAAAUUGGUUAAUGGUUAGAAACCUAGGAGCACAAAGACUAUUGUGCUCCUAAUUGCAAAGUUGCCCUUCUCUUUCUCUCUCUCUCUCUCUCUCUCUCUCUCUCUCUCUCUCUCUCUCUAUAUAUAUAUAUAUAUAUAGGAAAAACUUCAAAUACCACCAAUGUGGUUUCGCACUUUUUCACUUUAAUACCCUGUGGUUUAAAGUGUAUCAAUUUAGUAACCUGUGGUUGCGCACUGUCUCACUUUAGUACCCUAUGAUUUAAAGUGCAUCAAUUUAGUACCCUGUAGUUUCAUUUUUCUCUUUUCGUCGGCUCCUCUGUUAAUAUUUUAUUAAAUUAUAUACAAAAAAUUUCAGAUACUCUACCUAGGUUUAUUGAAUAUUUACUUUAGUACCCUUUAGUUUUAACUUUGUCAUCGAUUUUUUUUCCUCCGUUAAUAUUUGGUUAAAUUAUAUACAAAAAACUUCAGAUACCCUAUAUAGGUUUAUCAAAUAUUUACUUUAGCACCCUUUAAUUUUAACUUUGUCACUAACUUAACGAAAAAAAAUUAGUAAAAUAGAUAAUAAAAAAAAGGAAAUAAAACCACAGGGUACUAACUUGAUACACUUUAAACCACAGAGUACUAAAGUGAGAAAGUGUGAAACCACAUGGGCUAACUUGAUACACUUUAAACCAAAGGGUACUAAAGUGAGAAAGUGUGAAACCGCAAAGGGGGUAUUUGAAGUUUACCCUUCUAUAUAUAUAGAGAGAGAGAGAGAUAGAGAGAGAGAGAGAGAGAGAGAGAGAGAGAGUCCAGCUAUGGUGUUUUUAGAAGCAGAAAACACUUGGUGCUUGUAAGUUUUUAGUCGUUAGAUCUACUUCUUUGACUAUUUUCACCAAUUAGAUCAUAAUAUUCAACCAAUUACCCACAAAACUCGAAAGGACCACUAUUGUGACGCCCCAGCUUCCCAGGGGGUCACACAUCCUAGGAGUACUCCUGUUCUAGCACGCUUAACUCUCUUAACCUCUUAAGCCUAGCCACCACCCAAAAUGCUUAAGCCAGGUUAAGAGUUCAGUUCUAUUAUAUUUUAUAAAUAGGACUAUCUGGGGUGUCACAAUCUCCCCAUUUAAGCCCUAACGUCCCUGUUAGACUCAGACUUACAAGUAUCAGGCGAUGUCAGACUCGUCUCGCUAGUCUAAACCGACUUUGUUGUGGAGCCGCGCUAUACCCACAACAGUCAACAACAUGAGAGCCUCGCUCUUCCCGCUGUACAAUCCUGACUCAGCCGAGACUCAUCUCACACUUCCUACUGGUAAUUGACUUUGAUAUUAUCUGUGACGCCCCAGCUUCCCAAGGGAUCACCCAUCUUAGGACUACUCCCUUCCUAACGCGCUUAACUCUCUUAACCUCUUGGGCCUAGCCACCACCCAAAAUGUUUAAGCCAAGUUAAGAGUUUAACCCUAUUAUAUCUUAUAUAUAGGACUACCUAGGGUCUCACAACUAUCAUCCUAACCAAACAUCCCUUAAUUUAAGGGUCGAAUAUCUACAAGCAUCAAUGACUUAAUACUUUUAAAAGCAUAGGAGCUCAAUUAUAUAUAUAUAUAUAUAUAGAGAGAGAGAGAGAGAGAGAGAAAGCGUCCGACUGCUAAACUAUCGAUAGCACGUGGCUUCCUUGCUAUCAAGUUGUUUUAGAUGAUGCGGCUUCCAAAUCGACGAUCAGCUCUGUUAAACUUGAUCUACACUAUUGAAAGUAUUUGGAACCAAAUUUCAUAAUUUUCGACAUCAUUUACCUGUCAAAUGAGUAGUCUAAAAUUAAAUGACUGAAAAUAAAAAUCUCAUAAAAAAAAUAACGAUAAAAGACUAGAAUUUAUCAGUAAAGGUAUUGAUCUUGCUCUAAAUAAUGACAAAACUUUUCUCUAAAAAUUUCAUCAGAUUUGAAUUAUUUUACACUGUUAAAUUCAUAAACGCAUCACAUCGACUAUUAAAAUUAUCAAUUUUGAGAACUUUUGAUCGCUAGCCAAAAAAUGUCAAAAACUUAUAAAAUUUAGUUUUCAAAUGCUUUUAAUAGUGUAGAUCAAGUAUAACGGAACUGAUCACUGAUUUGGAAGUCGCAUUAUUAAAAACAACUUGAUAGCAUAGAAGCUUUUGUGCUACCGAUAGUAUAGCAGUCUCUCUCUCUUUCUCUCUCUCUCUCUCUCUCUCUCUCUCUAUAUAUAUAUAUAUAUAUAUAUAUAUAUAUAUAUAUAUAUAUAUAUAUAUAUAUAGAAUUAUGCUAUUAUACUAUCAAUAGUACCAAGUCCUUGGUACUAUUGAGUUUUUGGCCGUUGGAUGAAAGGAAUGUGCGGUUUUAGAAGAAUAGUUGGUCCGCGAUUAAAUUGAUAGUGUGUCAUCCUAGGUUGAGUGGAGUGGUGGUUAUGUAUAAGUUCUAACGGUGGAAUUGAUCAGAAGGAUAGAUCUAACGGUAGAAACUCAAUAGAUACCAGAAGACUUGUGUAACUAUCAAUAGAUAGUAGCCGGACUGUUAAUAUAUAUAUAUAUAUAUAUAUAUAUAUAAUAUUAUGUAUAUAUUAUAUUAUAUAUAUAUAUAUAUAAAAGCUGGAUAUACUAUCGGAUAGCAUCAAAGGGUUUUCGUGCUAUCAAUUUUUACCUUGGGUUGAGAAAUGUGCGGUUAAGGAUAUGUGGACCAUAAGGCGGUUGAGGGGUGGUGGUUGAAUAUUAUAUCAACGGAUAAAGUAUAAUCAAAGAGUUAAAUCUCAUAUCAGUGGAAACUCUAAUAGCAACUAAGCCUUGUGCUAUCGAUAGUAUCCCAGCCGGGUCUGCUCUCUCAGCAACCCUUGUGCUCUUAAGUUCUUAACCGCCCAUCAAAUUUGAUGGGUAAUUAGGGUGAAUGGAGAAGAGAAAUUGGAGAGAAAUUCAAGAGAAGAGAAAUUGAAAACCUAAUUUCUCUCACAAUUACUCUUCUCCUUUCACCUAACCACCCAUCAAAUUUGAUGGGCGUUAAGACUUAAGGAGAGCAAAGGAUUCUUGCUCCUAAUAGCACGUAGCCGCCUACUUCUAUAAGAUAUAUAUAUAUAUAUAUAUAUAUGACAUCCAAAUUUCUCUCAUAUCUUUUCUAAAUCUUUCCAUAUUUUUUUCAAGUUUUCAUUAUUAUUCUUGCUUUCCCUCUUCUCCUAUAGCGCUCAUCUCUUCCUCUUCUCUCUUUCUGUAAUUCAAGCUUAAUUUCUUUCCAAAUCUUUCCAAAUUAUUAUUUGUUGUUUCCUUUCUUCAUCCAAUCAUUGCUCUUAUUAUCUCUUCUCUCCCAUGGCGCUCUUAUACCCUCUCUCUCCCCUCAUAACCCAAAUCUAGUCCCUCCACCGAGCUAGCUGUCGGCCUCAUUGCCUGCAACCGCCCUUCUACGAUGCUGAUACAUGCUACUUUCUAUCCCUCAAGUCCCGCCCCAUCACGAGCUCCUACAAAUAUAUGAGGUAGAAUACUUUUAGAAGUAUUUGGACCUUUUUACUUCUAGGUCCUCCUAAGAACGAUUUAGUGUUGAUUGGUGGAAUAGUAUUGAUCUAAAGACUAGUAGUAAUCAAAGGAGAUUGAUCUAACGGAGCAGCGCGCGUCAUGUGCACACCGAUUCAAGUUGCGCCACUGGUAGGGAUGCAAACGGGGCAGAUUUGGGGGCGGGAGCCCCGGCCCGUCUCCCGCCCCGACUACAAAAAAUCCGCCCCGCCUCUCGCCCUGAAUUCGUGUCGGGUUGAAAAUAGUUAUCCCAUAAUCUGCCUCGCCUUAUAACCCCCCUCCCGCCGGCGCCCCAAAUCCAUCCCACCAAAUAGUAUUUGUUUUAUAAAUUAUAAUAUUAUUAACAUUUUAUAAAUAUAAAUCAACAAAAUUUUUAAUAUUAAUUGAUAAUAUUAUCAAGUUAUAUAUAAUUAACAAUAUCAACUAUAAAAAUCAAAAAUAUCAAUCACAACUCACAACAAAAUUCAAAAAUUUUAAAUACAUACAUAUGGAAAAAUUUUAAAGACAUAGAUUCGGGGCGGAUUCGGAGAGGAUAAUGGCGGGGCGGAUUCGGAGCGGAUAAAAAAUUUUCCCUUUUCCUUCCCCGAAUCCGCCACGAAUCAUAAAAAUUAUCCCGUUUCCUGCCCCGAAUUCGUUUAUUUCCUCCCGUUUACUGCUCCAUUCGGGGCGGAUUGGGGCGGGAGCUCCACCACCCUGGAUCCAUUUGCAUCCCUAGCCACUGGUCAUCUGAUGGCGGCCCAGUGGGCUAUCCGGCCUGUUUUACGCCCCUCCUCGACCCCUACUCCAACAAUUUAAAAGCGAAGCACAAAAGUACACUCAUAGUUUUUUUUUUUUUUUCUUUUCCCCUUUUUUUUUAAUCAUGGUGGAGAUAAUGAAAAUUUGAAGUGUCACACGGUAUCAUGGGCCCAUUAAAUUCCACGUUCUCUGGCAAGAAGCAAGCAAGCUUGUCCCAUCCACGCUCUGGGUGGGCCUUGCCUGCUUCAAUAUAGACUUUUGAACAUAAUUUUAAAAUAAUUUUGGCUUUUUUUUUCUUUGGGCGUAACGAGUUAUUAUUUAGUUACUAAAAAAAUAUAAAAAAUUAUUUCAAAAAAAAUUAUAAUUUUACUUUACUAAUUUUUUGUCCAUUUGGUUCCCAGGAAAUUUUAUUUUUCUGUUUUUUUUAAUUUUGUGAUAAACAACAACAAAAACAACUUAAUUUUAUUUUCUUGAAACUUCCUUACCCUUCCUUUGAUUUGUUGAGUUGAGCUGCUUUAGUCCUUUAAAUUGACAAUUUUAUUUUAUCAUAAUUUUUUUGUAAAUAAAAAGUUGAGGGGUCUAUUUCGAAUCUCCACACAUUUUAUGGAGAAAUUCUAUUUAAAAAGUUGAAAAAUAAAUAAGUUACUUUCAGUUUGUACGUAUUUUGCCUUUUUAGAUUCUUAGGCCAACUACAGGUUGUAUUUCUUCUUUUUUUUUCUUCUUUUUUUUAAAAAAAAAAAAGCUUUGCACAGUAAUCAAUCGCAGAAACAUGAUGUACCAUUCAAAGUUGGGAUAAAACUUCAGCGGAAAGGUUUCAAAUCGACACCUUAUUGGUGUCAAGCAAUACCUUAUUGGUGAGCCCUGAUCAGAUGACAGGUGCUAAUUUUACCUCCAUUCAAUAUUCAUUCGGUAUUUUUAAUACUCAAACUUAAAAAUUUUAAAUUUUAGAGAAAAAAUUAUAAACUUUGGAUUUUAGAUAAAAUUGACUGACACAUAAUCGCAUAUCAGCCCUCAAACUUUCCACUGAAGGUUUUUUCUCAAAGUCGGUGGGUGUAGAGAGAGAGAGAGAGAGAGAGAGAGAGUAGAAUUUGUAUGCUAUUAGGAGUACGGAUUCCUCCAUUCUCCUAAGCCGAAUUCGAUAAUUAAAUUUUCGAAACGAUGAUUAGGUACAGUAGAUUUGAUCUAACUUUAAAUAUCUAAAAAAUAAGUUUUGUUUGAUAUCAUUUACUUAGUGAUCGAAAGGACUAAAAAUAGAUGGCUAAAAAUAAAAAACUUAUAGAAAGUUAUGAUGCAGUACUAAAAUUUUUUAUCAGAAAUAUUGAUCUUACUGUAGGUAGUAUAAAAUAUUUUCUAUCAACAUUUUAUUUGAUUUGAAUACUUCUACUCUAUUAAGCAAGUAAAUGGCACAUUAACCAUUAAAAUUUAUUGAUUUGAACCCUUUAAAUGAAUAGGUAAAUUAUAUCAAAAAUUAUAAAAUUUAUUUUUAAGAAACUUUAAAUUCGCUAGAUCAAAUCUAAUGGAGUCUCUCUCUCUCUACCCGCACCAAUUUUGUAGAACCAAAUAGAUGUUAUGAUACCGAAGAAAAAAUUUUCUAAAAAAUUAUUUAAAAAAAAGUUAUAAGAAUUUUAUUUUACUAAUUUUUUAUCCAUUGGUUUCCGGAAAAUUUUAUUUUUCUAUUUUUAAAUUUCAUGAUAAACUAUUUUUUAUUUUUCAGAAAAAAUAGCAACAAACGACAAUUUAAUUUUAUUUUCUUGAAACUUUCUUAACCUUUGAUUUGUUGAAUUGUGGUUAUUUUACCAAACUUGAGAACUUUCAUAAUUUUUUAGUAAAUAAAACUGCACCGAUUAAUAGUUAACUAACUAAUAAAGUUACUAAAUUUAAUAAAAUUUUUGACUUAAUAUGAUAACUUCAAAGAAAAAUAAAAUAAAAUUUAUGUUUUUCUUAUUGAGAAUAGAAAUAGUUGAGGGGUCUAUUUCCAGUCUCCACACAUUUUAUGGAGAAACUCGAUCUAUUUAAAAAGUAAAAAUAAAUAAAUAAAUAAAUUACUUUCAUUUUGUAUUUUGCCUUUUUUAGAUUCCUAGGCCAACUACAAGUUGUAUUUCUGUUUUGUUUUGAUUUUUUCUUGGUUUUUUUUUUAAUUUUUUUGUAUUUUUUUUUUAAUUUUUUUGUAACUUUUUCCAUCAAUCAAUCGCAGAAACAUGAUGUACCAUUCAAAGUUGCAAUAAAACUUCAGCAGGAAGGUCUAAAACGGUGCCUUAUUGAAGAGCUAUGAUCAGAUGACACUGCUAAUUAAUUUUACCUCCAUUCAAAGGUGGUAAGGUAAUUUUAAUGCUAAAACUUUAUAAAAAAUUUAAUUUAAAAUUUUUUUUAUAAGCUUUGGAUAUAGAUAAAACUGGCACAUAAUCGCAUAUCAAAUGUCCCCAAACUUCCCAUUGAAGAUUUUUUCUCGAAGUUAGUGUGUUAGAGUAGGUCUUGUGUGCUAUUGGAAGCACCGAGACCUCCAUAUUUUUAAGCCGUUUUCGAUGAUGGGACUUCCAUAUCGACGAUUGGCUCCGUUAAACUUAAUCUAUCAUAUUUGAAGAAUUUAGAAAAUAAUUUUUAACGGUUGAUAUAUAUCGUUUACAAAUUUAACAGUGUAGAAGUAUUCAAAUCAGAUGAGAUUUUGAUAAAAAAUUUUGUACUAUUUACGGUAAAAUCAAUAUCUCCGAUAAAAAAUUUUAGUGCUAUAUCUUCACUUUUUGUGAGAUUUUUAUUUUCAGCCAUUAAAUUUGAAUAUUUUCGAUCGCUAUAUAAAUAACAUCAAAAAAUUACAAAAUUUAUUUCUUUUAAAAAAUUUGCACAUGUAAAUACAGAUCUAUCAUAUUAGGCUCAAAUAGCAAUUUCCAUGAUUAAUCAGUAAAAAAAAAUUUAUAAAUUAAAAACUAGAAUAAUACAGGAUCGAUAAGAAACAAAACAAUAUCAAUAAAGAAGCGAACAUAAUCACCUUAUGAAAAACAGAAUCACCUUAUGAAAAACUUCAAGAGCAAAUCAAAGUACACUUGACUAAACAAUUGAUUUUAAGUACUUUCCAUAUUUUGUGGAUGUAGUUUUAGAUCUAGUAUAAUUUAUAAUUGCAAAUAAUAUUUUUCAAACUUUUUUUAGUGAGAUUAAUAAAAAUAGAAAAAUCAUGCCUUCUAGAUUGUUAUAGCCCAUAGACCUACAUGAAUUAUAGCAGUUAGUUUCCUGUGGAGAAGGAGAAAACAAUGGGAAGGCCCAAGAAACACAAGAGAAUAGCCAUCCCACCUAAGAUUAGACGACCACGACCACGACCACGACCAAAAAAUUAAAAAAAAAUAAUCACCUUUCAUCUUUUAAAUUUUUAAACUAUGUUUGAUUCAGAUAUAAGUAAGAACUGUUUAUCAUACGAAAAAAUUGGACAAAUUUUGUGUUUCAAUAAAUAUUGGGUUAUUUUCGGAAGCAAGAAAAAAUAGCGUUUGGAUAGCUUGAGUGGAAUAGUUAAAAAUAAGAAUAACUAUAGUUUUAAAAUAAUAAUAUUUUAUCUAAUUAAUUGACAUGAAAUAUUAAUUAGAAAUAAUUUAAUAAAUUAAUAAAUUUAUUAUUAUCUAUGAUUAUGGUAAUAAAUUAAUAAAUAUAAAUAUUAGUUAAUUAAUUAGUUAACUAAUACAUUGACUAAUUAAUCAAUUAUGAAAAAUAAGUUAUCUUCUUAAUUAAUUAGUAAAUUAUCUUAGUUAGAUAAUUAGUUAAGAAAUUAUAUACUUAAUUAACAUUAAAUAUUAAUUAAACAAUAAUUUAACUUACUUAAUUAACUAAUUAAUCAUGAAUACUGAAAAAUAAACCUAAAUAUUAAUUAAUAAAAUAAUUAACAAUAUGUGAUGUUACUUAAUAAUUUAAUUAACCAUAAGUAAUUUGAUAAAUUAAUUAAUUAAUAGUUAGAUAAUUAGUUAAUAAAAUAAUUAUAUUGGUCAAAUAUUAGAUUAAUUAAAGAGCUAAUAAAAUAAUUAAAAUUAUAUUUAUUUAAUUAUUUAAGCAUAUUCUCAAGUUGGAACAAGUUUGUUCUCCAAAAAAGAGACUGGAACAGCAGUUCUAGAGCUUAUUUCUUCAAAACCGAUAGGAUCUCCAAUAAUGCUGAGUAUAAGUUGGGGAAUAAGAGCUUACUUCCUAUUUAUUCUCCAACCAAAACUCUCUAAAGUAUAGUUUGGUUCGAGAACAAGCUAUUUUGUUUAUUCUUAAAAUAGUUAUAACUUUUGGGAUAGACAGAAUUAGUUCAUUUUAUAUUGUGAACAAGAAUCAAGAUAUUUGAAGGAGCAAGAAAAAUUCGUUUUGAUGAUUUGGGUUGGAACUCUAAAAUAGAGUAAUGGUGAUUGAAAAAAAAAAAUUUAUAUAUAAUAAGCAUUUAAGUAUUAGAAAAUAAUAUUUUAAUAAGAAAUAAAUUAAUUAAUUAAAAUUACUAUAUGACAUGAUUUAGAAGACGUUAAUUAGUAAAUAACUAUAAAAAAAAGUCAAUAUGUUAACAUUAAUUAAUUAUUUAAUUAUUUAUAUUUUUAGUUAAUAUAUUAAUUAGAUAAAUUAAAAUAUUAUUUAUUUAAAUAAUAUAACUAUUAGUUGAUGAUUGGAUAUAUAAGCACAUCAAAUAGCUAACUAUUUAAUUACAUAAUUAAUUAUAAAUUAUAAACAAAUUAAUAUUUAAUUAGUUAUUAAUUUAAUAAGCUAAAUAAUUAAUUAGUUAUUUAAUAAUUAACUAAGAUAGAGAAUAACUUAUUCCGACCGAUAGGUGGAACUAUGUACUGUUCUCCUUACUUAACGGAUUAUUCUUAAAUAAUUCGUUCAGAGAUGAAUAAUGAUUCUUAACAAUUCUUAACACCGUUUGAAAGAAUAAAAAAAAUAAAUCACUUAUUCUUUUUUUUUAUCUUUCGAACCAAACAUUGGAUAAAACUCUACUUACACAAAAGAGUUAUAGAUAUGUGUGUGGUCGGUGGGUAAUGCGAUACGUAACUGCUACGCGAAUAAGAAUUAAGAAACCAUGCACCUCCCUGGGAUCCACCUUGCAAAUUAAAUGCGUAACCAAUAAGUUCUUUUUUUAAUAAGGAUUAAUUUUAUUCAGAUCUCUACCAAUAUAGUAAAUUAUAAAUAUAUAUUCUUAUAAUAUUUAACUUUUAUAUGUUGCUCCUAGCUAUAAAAUAUUAAUAAUUUCAAAUAUGUUUUUCUGAUUUAUUACCGUUGAAAUACUGUUUAUUUUAUAAGUAAAAUAACAUUUUUGCCAUCAUAAAUAUGUCCCUCCAAAAUAUUUAAAUUGUUAACUGAAGAGGAGUAUAAAGAUCAAUUCAUCUCAUUAACUAAUUAGAGUUAAGUAUUUUAUCGGUGGUUAACUAGUUUUUCUUAACGUAUCCUGACGGUAGGGAUAUAUAUAUUUGAAAACAUCAGAACUUUUCUAAGGACAAGAUAUGAAAGUCAAACUUUAUAGAGAUAUAUUUACAAUUCGUUAUAUUUACAAAAAUCUGUAUGAAAUUAACCCGCUUUCAUAAAAUAAAUAUAAAAAAUUAGAUAUAAAUGUACCACUUUUGUUUACAAAAAGAAAAAUUUCUGCGGGGUCAAUUUGUUUCUAGAUCCCCCGGUUUUGUGUUCCAACACAACGAGUCUUUGUUUCAUCAAAGUUCCCAAAAAAAAAAAAAAAAAAAAAAAAAAAAAAAAAAAAAACACCUUCGUUUAUUUUUCCUUAUAUUCGAUUCCGCGGCUCCACGUCGAGAUUACUAACCCGGACGCGUCUCCGCAAAACCGUCUUUCUUUUCUCGCCUGAAAUUGCCCGAAGAUUCUCGAACUGAACAACUUCAUAUUUUGUUAUUUAGCCCCUCAACUUUGUUUUUUGCUAUUAGGUUACUAACCUUUAUAAUUUUUUCCCUUGGUAUGGUUCAGAAGCAUAUAUAUAUNNNNNNNNNNNNNNNNNNNNNNNNNNNNNNNNNNNNNNNNNNNNNNNNNNNNNNNNNNNNNNNNNNNNNNNNNNNNNNNNNNNNNNNNNNNNNNNNNNNNNNNNNNNNNNNNNNNNNNNNNNNNNNNNNNNNNNNNNNNNNNNNNNNNNNNNNNNNNNNNNNNNNNNNNNNNNNNNNNNNNNNNNNNNNNNNNNNNNNNNNNNNNNNNNNNNNNNNNNNNNNNNNNNNNNNNNNNNNNNNNNNNNNNNNNNNNNNNNNNNNNNNNNNNNNNNNNNNNNNNNNNNNNNNNNNNNNNNNNNNNNNNNNNNNNNNNNNNNNNNNNNNNNNNNNNNNNNNNNNNNNNNNNNNNNNNNNNNNNNNNNNNNNNNNNNNNNNNNNNNNNNNNNNNNNNNNNNNNNNNNNNNNNNNNNNNNNNNNNNNNNNNNNNNNNNNNNNNNNNNNNNNNNNNNNNNNNNNNNNNNNNNNNNNNNNNNNNNNAUAUAUAUAUAUAUAUAUAUAUAUAUAUAUAGAGGGUCCGGCUACUAUACUAUUAUGAGUACGAUCGCCCUUGUACUCAUAAGUUAUUUUCGAUGAUAGAGCUUCCGAAUCGACGAUCCACACCGUUAAACGUUAUUUAUGGCAUUUAAAACUUCUAGAAAUCAAAUUUUAUGAAUUUUCGACAUCAUUUACCUUACGAUCAAGAGAUCACAAAUUUGACAAUUUUUAACGGCCGGUAUGAAAUACUUACUAGUUUAACGGUGUAAAAGAAUCGGAAUUUGUUGAAUUUUUGAUAGAAAAUUCUAUUCGCUACAUAGAUAAAGAUCAAUAACUCCAAUCUUGAAUUGAAGGAUCCGAUCAUUCUUUUUUAGGACGUUGUUCAAUUUGGACCGUUCAUUUUAUGCCCACUUGAUGGACUUUAUUAUGAUUUCGAAAAUUUACGAAAUUUAUUUACUAGAAGUUUCAAAUACUCUAGAUUAUAUUUAAUGGAGUGGAUCGUCGAUUCGGAAGCUCCAUCAUUAAAAACAACUUAUGAGUACGAGGGCUCCAAUACUCAUAAUAGUAUAGUAGCUAUAACCUAUAUAGUCCAGCUAUGGUGCUUGUAAAAGCACCAAGCAUUUGGUACUUGUAAAUUUUUUACCGUUAGAUCUACGUUUUUGAUCAUUUUCACCCGUUAGAUCAUACUAUUCAACCAACCACCUACUCAACUCUAGGGGGUCCACAUCAUCCUAACCACACAUCCCUUAAUCCAAGGGCCAAAAGCCUAUAAGCACCAAUAAUUUGUUAAUUUUAAAAGCAUAGGAGCUCAAUUUUAUAUAUAUAUAUAUAGUUCGGCUACUGUACUCUUAUGAGUACGAUCGCCCUCAUACUCAUAAGUUAUUUUCGAUGAUAGAGUUUUCAAAUCGACGAUCCAUACCAUUAAACAUUAUCUAGAGCAUUGAAAACUUCUAGAAAUUAAAUUUUAUAAUUUUUUGAUAUCAUUUACCCUACGAUCAAAAGCUCACAAAAUUGACAAUUUUAACGGUCGGUAUGGAAUAUUUGCUAGUUUAACGGUGUAAAAGAAUCGGAAUAGGUUGAAUUUUUUAUAGAAAAUUCUAUUCACUAUCUAAAUAAAGAUCAAUAACUCCGAUCUUAAAUUGAAAGAUCCAAUCAUCCAUUUUUACGAUGUCGUUCGAUUUUGAUCGUUCAUUUUAUACCCGUUUGAUGGAGUUUAUAAUAAUUUCGAAAAAUUAUGAAAUUUAUUUUCUAGGAGUUUCAAAUACUCUAGAUCAUGUUUAACGGUGUGGAUCGUUGAUUCGAAAAUCCUAAUAUUGAAAACAACUUAUGAGUACGAAGGGCUCUAUACUCAUACUAGUAUAGUAGCUCUACUAUAUAUAUAUAUAUAUAUAUAUAUAGGGUCCGGCUACUAUACUAUUAGGAGUACGAUCGCUCUCGUACUCAUAAAUUGUUUUCGACGAUAGAGCUUCCGAAUCGACGAUCCACACCGUUAAACGUUAUUUACAGCAUUUAAAACUUCUAGAAAUCAAAUUUUAUAAUUUUUCGACAUCAUUUAUCUUACGAUCAAGCAGUCACAAAUUUGACAAUUUUUAACGGCCGGUAUGGGAUACUUGCUAGUUUAACGGCGUAAAAGAAUCAGAAUUUGUUGAAUUUUGAUAGAAAAUUCUAUUCACUAUGUAGAUAAAGAUCAAUAACUCUGAUCUUGAAUUGAACGAUCCGAUCAUCCUUUUUUAGAACGUCAUUCGAAUUUGACCGUUCAUUUUAUGCCCACUUGAUGGACUUUAUUAUGAUUUCGAAAAUGUUACAAAAUUUUAUUUUAGAAGUUUCAAAUACUAUAGAUCAUAUUGACGGAUGGACAUCGGUUCGAUUCGGCGAUGUCCAUCAUGAAAACAACUUAUGAGUACGAGAGCUCCAAAUAAUCUAAAGUAUAAGUAACCAUGGCUUAUAUAUAUUUUAUUUAUAGAGUAGAGCGUAGAAUACUUGUAAAGUAUCACCAAGUUGAUACUGUGUGUGUUUUUAGCCUUGGAUGGAGAGAUGUGAGGUUGAGAUGAUUGUGGAUCUGGUGGUAGGUUAGUGAUGAGUUGGAAUAGUGUUGAUCAAGGUCAUUAAUAAUCAAAAAGUAGAUCCAAUGGCUAAAAACACACAAGUAUUACUGUGGUGAUACUUGUAAAAGUAUUCUAGCUCUACUAUUAUUAUAUAUAUAUUAAUUAUAUAUAUAUUAUAUAUUAUUAUAUAUAUAUUAUAUAUAUAAUAUAUAUAUAUAUAUAUAUAUAUAUGUUGGACUGGGCUACUAUUAGUAGCAAAAUCCUAUUAUUGCUACCAGUUUUUAGCUUUGGAUCAACAUUUAUUAUUUCUACCAACUUGAUUAGAAUACUAUACCCAGUGGGGACCACUCAACCUAGGGGACACUCAACUGUAACCGACUAAUAUCAUCCUGACUUACAAUUUUUCAUCAAGGAUAAAAAUUAAUUUAGCAAAAAGAGGUUUUACUAUUAAUAGUAUUCCAGACCUAUUAUUAUAUAUAUAUAAUAUUAUUAUUAUAUAUAAUAUAUAUAUUAUAUAUAUAUAUAUGAAUUAGAUUAUUAUACUAUUAAUAGUACCAUACAGUUAGGAUAAUAAUGGUCCCAAGUUAGAAUAAUAGUGAUCCUCUAUGAUUGAAUAGUAUGAUUUAACAGAUGAAAAUGAUCAACGAGAUAAAUUUAAUAACGAAAAACUCGAUAGCACCAAGCGCUUGGUACUAUCGAUAGUAUAACAGCCAAACUCAGUAUAAACAUAUAUAGUGUUAGUGAUUUAUAUGUAUAUAGUGCUAUAUAUAUAUAUAUCGGAUACUUACUAAGAGAGUGAAGAAUUGAUAUAUACUAGUAGAUCUAGACUUAAUGACUUAAACUUUUAGGUUACAUAAGUUCUGAAACAACAGUAAAAUAUGUCACAUUCUUGAACUUGUAUGGGUCCGAGUUAGAUCCUUAACUCUCUAAUUAGCGGUGGGUAUCAAGGCUAGAUGAUGGUUCAAUGAUCCUGAGCUAUAUAUCCUGAAAGUGGUGUGGUGCGAUCAAGUUAAUGGCCUUUCAAAGAUGAUAAGUUCACAGAAAGUAUUUACAGUAAACCAAUAUAACGACUAAUGCACUAAAAAAAAACAAUGAUCUGGAAAGCACGGAUAGGCCUUGAAUUCACAUAUAAAUAGUAUCAUAUCAAAUAUUAUUAAGAAAGUAAAAAAUCGAUAUUUUUAGCCGGCUCAGACGUAAUAUACUUAAGGCAACGUUUGGUUAGGGAAUAGGGAUAGAAAUAGGUCCUUAUCCCUCCUUUAUACCCAAAUGCUAAUUUUUUAUUCGAGAAUAGUAGUUCUCGGUUAUUCCCACCAACAUCUCUAUUUUCUAUAUAAAACUAUCUAAAAUUAUUCUUAUCCUCGGGAACAACCCAAUUUUCAUCCAAACACUAUUUUUCUUAUCCCCAUACUUAUAUCUAUUCCUAUAAUAGCUAGUUCUUGCUUAUACCCGAACCAAACGGUACCUUAAAAUUUUUAGUUGAGGAGUUACGGCAAUAUAUACUAGUGGGCGCAAACCCAAUAAACUUAUAGAUUUUAUUACAUAUGUCAUGCAUAUGCGUGCCAUAAUAAGAUUCAUAAAAAUAUUAUAGAAGAAUAGAAUAUUAUAGAAUAUUAAUUAAUUAGAUAAAAGUUUAAAACCAAGGGCGCAAUAUACCCAUAAAUUUAUUAUGCGCAGAGACGCAUACGGAAUUUUUUUAAUUGUGGGCCGAGCCGCAGAAUUCGUGUCCUACCCGCGAAGGAAGGAAUUAAUACAGCGGAAAAAGAAACCAACUUUUUCUUUUUCUUUUUUCUUUUUUUUUUAUUAUUACUGUCUCUGUUUUUUUAACUUGGGAAAAAAAAAAAAAGUCUUGUUAUGUUCUAUAAUAAACCACUUAUAAAACUAGUUCAAUUUUGAUUUAGUAAUCCUAAUAAUUUAUUAAUUUAGAUCAAAUAUAA